AGCUCCAAUAGCGCAUAUUAACAUUGUUGCGGUUAAAAAGCUCGUAGUUGGAUUUCUGCUGAGGACGACCGGUCCGCCCUCCGGGUGAGCAUCUGGUUCGGCCUUGGCAUCUUCUUGGCGAACGUGUGUGCACUUGACUGUGUGGUGCGGUGCCUAGGACUUUUACUUUAAGGAAAUUAGAAUGUUUCAAGCAGGCAUACGCCUUGAAUACAUUAGCAUGGAAUAAUAAGAUAGGACCUCGGUUCUAUUUUGUUGGUUUCUACAGCUGAGGUGAUGAUUAAUAGGGGUAGUUGGGGGCAUUCGUAUUUAACUGUCAGAAGUGGAAUUCUUGGAUUUGUUAAAGACGGAGUACUGCGAAAGCAUUUGCCAAGAAUGUUCCCA
This 381-nucleotide ribosomal RNA is filed under the name uncultured eukaryote. RNAcentral describes it as "SSU rRNA". It matches the Rfam family "Eukaryotic small subunit ribosomal RNA", at positions 587 to 972 of the family's 1831-position model. The record is from RNAcentral.